Molecule: long non-coding RNA, 824 nt
Filed under: Rattus norvegicus (Norway rat)
Lineage: Eukaryota; Metazoa; Chordata; Mammalia; Rodentia; Muridae
Description: long non-coding RNA NONRATT033643
Source: RNAcentral
CACAAUUAGAAAACCUCAGGGCAGACAGACCUGAGUCAUGGGGCACAGAGACAUUCGACUUCCUGUAGAAUUGCAAGAUCAUUCUGUAAAGUGGCUUUGGUUUCUCACUCCCAGGGGCAAUAUGCAGGUGUCCAGCUGCUCACAUGGGGAGUUCUGGGAGGAGCCGAGAGUAGCCCACUGUCCACCUUUGGACCUGGCCAGGGGAACUUUGGAUUCAGGCCCUGUACAAACAGCAUCUCUGGGACACAGCCUGCAGAUUGCCACUUGGAUGGUACCCGGGUGGGUUGCACAACUGGACAAAGCGCCUACUGCUUCAACCCACUCACGUGAAUGGAGGUGGACCUGCCUCCAGGACAAACUUGCCAAGAUCGUAGAUUGUAAACUGCUUGCGACUAAGCAGUUUUCUACCUUCCAAGAGAUGAAGUUAAGUAAUUCUAAGCCAGAUGUGCAGUCUGCAGAUGCACGAGGUGCAGGAUCAGGUCAGAUCUGUGGGUCCCUUGGCCUGAUCCCCUAGUACAGUGGAUGAAUCUAUGCGACCAUGCCCAGGCUGCCCUUCCCUGGAAAAUACACAACACAGAGUCCCUCCCAGUCACCCCAGCCCUCACACCCCCUGUCAACAGUCAUCAAGGGACCAAGAGCCCAUCCUCAAGACAACUCAGCCAUGAUUCACACUCCACAGCCCCCAUCAUCCUGAGGAAGGGCUGAUGACAGUUAACAUUGGUUAGCAACUUGCCAGCAUCUAGAAUCUGCCUGGAGACAGGCUUUCUGGGCCCGACCAUGUUGAUGGUCUAGACUAGGUUAGCUCUGUGCAUGCCUCUGAGGGG